UAACGAUUUCGAAACUUUCCAGUUGACAAUCAUUUAACCUAAAUUUUCCAUUUUAGCUCAAUGUAAGUUGAGGAGUCGAAGACAAACUCUAUAAAACGAUCUUGAAACCUCAAUAAUUUGAAUGCACCACUUUAAGAGAAAGCAAUUAGGAUAAUUGAUGCAAAUUACAUUGUAAAUAGCAUGAAAUGCAUGAAUUAUAUUGGUCAAAUGCGUAACGUGAAGUUUGGGGGAUUACAUCCUUCACUCCUUAUAAAAAUUUCGUCCUCGAAAUUUGCUUACCCAAAAAGUUCAGGAUAUUUGACCCGCAUUUUAUCUUCUCUUUUCCAUGUGGCCUUUUCUGUUGACUGAUUCCACCACAAUACCUUGACCAAUGGAAUUUUCUUGCUUCUAUGUUUCUUUACCUCUUGUUGAAGAAUCUCUAUCGAUUUUUCGUCAUAAGGCAAAUCUGAUUUUAUCUCCAUCGAUUCAUUCCUCAAUACAUGAGAAGGAUUUAUAAUGUAUUCUCAUAGAAUGGACACACGAAACAUAUUAUGCUCUUGACACAUCGAUGAAAGAAUGAUGUGAAACCACGUAGCAGUGGUAGCUACCAAACCCUCAACAAGAUUAUGAUCGGAUCCCAAGAAUGCCAAUAAGUAAGGUUUUGGAUUUAACCCAAAACUUAUAA
Molecule: long non-coding RNA, 664 nt
Filed under: Olea europaea subsp. europaea
Lineage: Eukaryota; Viridiplantae; Streptophyta; Magnoliopsida; Lamiales; Oleaceae
Source: RNAcentral